This 354-nucleotide ribosomal RNA is filed under the name uncultured bacterium. RNAcentral describes it as "bacterial SSU rRNA". It matches the Rfam family "Bacterial small subunit ribosomal RNA", at positions 134 to 507 of the family's 1533-position model. The record is from RNAcentral.
UAGAAAGGAAUAACAGUUGGAAACGACUGCUAAUGCCCUAUAUGCCUUUAAUACAUAAGUAUGCAAGGGAACGCUUUAGUGCUAGAGGAUGGGUCUGUAUGGUAUCAGUUAGUUGGUGAGGUAAUGGCUCACCAAGACUAUGACGCCUAACUGGUUUGAGAGGAUGAUCAGUCACACUGGAACUGAGACACGGUCCAGACUCCUACGGGAGGCAGCAGGUGGGGAAUAUUGCACAAUGGACGAAAGUCUGAUGCAGCAACGCCGCGUGGAGGAUGACACAUUUCGGUGCGUAAACUCCUUUUAUAUAGGAAGAUAAUGACGGUACUAUAUGAAUAAGCACCGGCUAACUCCGUG